Molecule: ribosomal RNA, 335 nt
Filed under: uncultured eukaryote
Lineage: Eukaryota
Description: partial 18S ribosomal RNA
Rfam family: Eukaryotic small subunit ribosomal RNA
Source: RNAcentral
ACCCUUAGAUGUCCGGGGCCGCACGCGCGCUACACUGAAGGAAUCAGCGUGGCCUUCUCCCUGACCCGAAAGGGUUGGGAAACCCGUUGAAUCUCCUUCGUGAUAGGGAUUGGGGCUUGAAAUUGUUCCCCAUGAACGAGGAAUUCCCAGUAAGCGCGAGUCAUAAGCUCGCGUUGAUUACGUCCCUGCCCUUUGUACACACCGCCCGUCGCUACUACCGAUUGAACGGUUUAGUGAGGGCCUCGGAUUGGUCUCGGCCCGCUCUUUACCGGGCGGCGCCGUUGGUCGAGAAGACGCUCGAACUUGAUCGUUUAGAGGAAGUAAAAGUCGUAACA